Patiria miniata (bat star) is the source of this 1395-nucleotide long non-coding RNA. RefSeq lists it as uncharacterized. The transcript is spliced from 2 exons. Lineage: Eukaryota; Metazoa; Echinodermata; Asteroidea; Valvatida; Asterinidae. The record is from RefSeq and is a predicted model, not a curated record.
GAAGUUCCUCCCCGCGAGAAUGUGCAUACCGAUGGUGACGAGUCUGGUGGAUGUUCUGACAAGGCACAGAGCUGCAGCGAUGAAGGCACGAGUGGCCCACAGCCAAAUCUACUGCAGGCCCUGCAGGCCCAGCAGAGCGAUGCAGCUAUAAAGAGAGUCGUCGAGCUGAAGGAGGCAAGUCCAACUAGGAUGAGUAACAGGAAGAUGGAGAAGGAGUCCCGAGUAGUGAGGAUGCUACUCCAUGCAUGGGAUCGCCUUGAGGUCAAGGGCGGACUCCUGGUCUUCAGAAAAGGCGGAGACAAGCCGCGCUUCCUGGUGGUCCUCCCUCGACAACUGCGAAGGGCAGCAUUUCGUAGUCUGCACAGAACCAUGGAGACAUCGAGCUACGGCAGAGUGCUGAAAGUGGUCCGAGAGCGAUAUUUCUGGCCAAGUCUCCACAAUGAAACAAUGGGCUAUAUGAGACAGCAUCGAAAGGGAACACGGCAACUGGAGGUCUUCAAUGUCCCACCGCCUCAUGAGUUCCGGGAUGUGGGCCGAGGACCCUGAUGAUGGCUUUAUUCACAUUUUUCUAGUCUAGUUUGUGGAUAUACUGAAGGUGUCGUUAUCAAUUGUAUAUUUUUGUUUAUGUUUAUUUGUUUGUUUGUUUGUUUUAUUCAUGUUUAAUUGAAUCAAUUUUUUUAAUGCCAUUGCUGGGGACAGCAAUAUUUUAAAGAUGGCGUGAGUGUGGCAGGGCCAAAUUGAACUUGUAGUUUUUACUGUAUUGCUUUUAGUGUUUAGGUAUAGGUGUAGCUCCCCUGAAUAAAUCACCCCUUUUUAUUAGAUGUCCCCUACCCUUUCAUAGAAGUGUGUACCCCUGAUUAACUUUUCCCUCUUCCCCAGUAACAUGACCCCUUAGAACAUAGCCCCUUUGAUAAGACCCUGUAAGUCCACAGCCCCUCACUUAGCAGACCAGCGGCAGUAGAGAGAGGACUGUGUAUUAUAUAUCCACUCUUCCCCUUUUCUUGGGAGCGCCUGCCCUGUGUGUUUAUCUGCUCAAGUCACAUCCUGGUUUCAGUCAGAGUGCAUUUAAGGUCCAUUAUUUUGACGCUCUGUGUUGGUUUUUCUUUUCGUCUUCUUUAGUUUUUUUAGGUUGGGUUUAUUUACUUUUCAUUUCCAAUUACUUUUUGUUUCCAAUUUGAUUUUUUUUUCCAAAGUUAUUAAUUUCUGGUUUUGUUUUCCCAAAAGGUUUUUUUUUUGUCACAUUUCAAGGUGUUUUUGUGUGAAUGUAAAACUUGCAGUUAAUCGUGGAUUAAAUUGUUUUUUUGUAAAGUUCCAUCCCAAUUCAGUCUGUCUCUUUUCUUUUUUUUAAAUUUGUCCCAGUUUUCUAUUAAAUUUUUCGCGACUUAUCAAUUUGAA